UACGGGGGGGGCAAGCGUUGUUCGGAAUUACUGGGCGUAAAGGGCUCGUAGGCGGCCAACUAAGUCAGACGUGAAAUCCCUCGGCUUAACCGGGGAACUGCAUCUGAUACUGGAUGGCUUGAGAUUGGGAGAGGGAUGCGGAAUUCCAGGUGUAGCGGUGAAAUGCGUAGAUAUCUGGAGGAACACCGAUGGCGAAGGCAAUCCCCUGGGCCUGCACUGACGCUCAUGCACGAAAGCGUGGGGAGCAAACAGG
Molecule: ribosomal RNA, 253 nt
Filed under: uncultured bacterium
Lineage: Bacteria
Description: partial 16S ribosomal RNA
Rfam family: Bacterial small subunit ribosomal RNA
Source: RNAcentral